RNAcentral lists this long non-coding RNA (1067 nucleotides) under Mytilus galloprovincialis (Mediterranean mussel). Lineage: Eukaryota; Metazoa; Mollusca; Bivalvia; Mytilida; Mytilidae. The record is from RNAcentral.
AGAUAUAAUAUGUAUCCAAGUCAGAAGUCUGCAUUUAAGAAGUACUAAACACAAAUUGUCGAUGACUAGUUGCUAUAAUAGCUCAACAAGAAAAAGACUAAAUAUUUCUAAAUUGAUUUACAUAAAUAUGGUGUCUGUUUCGUCUCUUUGUAGCGUGUGUUUUCACAAAUGUAAUGGUCGAAAAUACGAUCGUUUAAAAGUUAUUACAUUGUUCCAUUGCAUCAAUUUUAUGGGAUCAUUUCCAUGUAUUAUAUCAAAGGAUCAUUGAUCCAUCGAUUCGAACAAUUACUUUCUUUGAGAAAUUUUUAUAAAUGAGACUUGAAUGCAAUAGUUACAACCCUAAUGUUCAUAUCAGAGAAUGUAAGAAUUCUCACCAUUCGUAAAUUUGAAUUCACGAGUUUUGUUUAAACAGGAUUUGCAAAAGCAGUUUUAUGUUGUAAUAAAAACACAUACUUUGUUUUGUCUAGAUGAGCAUGCAAGAAAUUGAAAAAUCUGAUUUUGUUACUCAUGAUUUACGAAUUUUUACCAAAUUAAAUGUAAUAAUUGAAAAGUGCAGGUAUGUGACCACUAAAAGAAUAUUUGUUUCAAAGUUAUUGCAAAAUGAAGAUUAUUGAUUUAGAAUAGAAUAUAUUCAAGUUGAUAAAAGAGACUUAAUUGAAGAAUGCAUGUUUAUAAUAGAUGUCCUCAGUCAAAACAUCAUAUUAACUUGCAAUGUUCCUGGAAAUUCUAAGCACAACACAUUUUGUCGAUUUACCGUGACCAAUUUCGUACAAUUACAUUUUUGAGAACACAAAUUAAUUUAUUCAUUUCAAGGUAAUUUCCAAUAAAAUUAAGUGUACUUAGUUUGUAUCCUUGUUAUUAUGGCCCCUUGCAGGGUCUCGCCAAAGUGACUGAUUCGCAGACUCUCCACAGAGAACAUGUUAAAUUGUUGAUGGUGAAAUUUUAGUUUGUAUAGAAUAUUGUUUUGUUUCCAUGACACUGUAUUAAAAUAUAUCACUUACCUCGAUUGCCACUAAAUAAGGACAGGACGACCAAAUUAUAUCUCGUUCAAAUACCGUCAAUUAUUU